RNAcentral lists this ribosomal RNA (443 nucleotides) under uncultured bacterium. RNAcentral describes it as "partial 16S ribosomal RNA". It matches the Rfam family "Bacterial small subunit ribosomal RNA", at positions 338 to 795 of the family's 1533-position model. The record is from RNAcentral.
CCUACGGGAGGCUGCAGUGGGGGAUAUUGGACAAUGGGGGGAACCCUGAUCCAGCGACGCCGCGUGAGUGAAGAAGUAUUUCGGUAUGUAAAGCUCUAUCAGCAGGGAAGAAAAGAAUGACGGUACCUGAAUAAGAAGCACCGGCUAACUACGUGCCAGCAGCCGCGGUAAUACGUAGGGGGCAAGCGUUAUCCGGAUUUACUGGGUGUAAAGGGAGCGCAGACGGCAAUGCAAGCCUGGAGUGAAAGGCGGGGGCCCAACCCCCGGACUGCUCGGGGAACUGUAUAGCUAGAGUGCAGAAGAGGCAAGUGGAAUUCCUGGUGUAGCGGUGAAAUGCGUAGAUAUCAGGAGGAACACCGGUGGCGAAGGCGGCCUGCUGGACUGCAACUGACGUUGAGGCCCGAAAGCGUGGGGAGCAAACAGGAUUAGAUACCCCUGUAGUC